GAUGAACGCUGGCGGCGUGCUUAACACAUGCAAGUCGAACGGAAAGGCUCCUGCUUGCAGGGGUACUCGAGUGGCGAACGGGUGAGUAACACGUGGGUGAUCUGCCCUGCACUUCGGGAUAAGCCUGGGAAACUGGGUCUAAUACCGGAUAGGACGAUGGUUUGGAUGCCAUUGUGGAAAGUUUUUCGGUGUGGGAUGAGCUCGCGGCCUAUCAGCUUGUUGGUGGGGUAAUGGCCUACCAAGGCGUCGACGGGUAGCCGGCCUGAGAGGGUGUACGGCCACAUUGGGACUGAGAUACGGCCCAGAAUCCUACGGGAGGCAGCAGUGGGGAAUAUUGCACAAUGGGCGGAAGCCUGAUGCAGCGACGCCGCGUGGGGGAUGACGGCCUUCGGGUUGUAAACUCCUUUCGCUAGGGACGAAGCGCAAGUGACGGUACCUGGAGAAGAAGCACCGGCUAACUACGUG
Molecule: ribosomal RNA, 465 nt
Filed under: uncultured bacterium
Lineage: Bacteria
Description: partial 16S ribosomal RNA
Rfam family: Bacterial small subunit ribosomal RNA
Source: RNAcentral